Molecule: ribosomal RNA, 492 nt
Filed under: uncultured bacterium
Lineage: Bacteria
Description: partial 16S ribosomal RNA
Rfam family: Bacterial small subunit ribosomal RNA
Source: RNAcentral
GAUGAACGCUAGCUACAGGCUUAACACAUGCAAGUCGAGGGGAAACGACAUCGAAAGCUUGCUUUUGCUGGGCGUCGACAGGCGCACGGGAGAGUAACGCGUAUCCAACCUGCCCAUCACUUGGGGAUAACCUUGCGAAAGUAAGACUAAUACCCAAUGAUAUCUCUAGAAGACAUCUGAAAGAGAUUGAAGAUUUAUCGGUGAUGGAUGGGGAUGCGUCUGAUUAGCUUGUUGGCGGGGUAACGGCCCACCAAGGCAACGAUCAGUAGGGGAUCUGAGAGGAAGGCCCCCCACAUUGGAACUGAGGCACAGACCAAACUCCUACGGGAGGCAGCAGUGAGGAAUAUUGGUCAAUGGGCGAGAGCCUGAACCAGCCAAGUAGCGUGCAGGAAGACGGCCAUAUGGGUUGUAAGCUGCUUUUAUAAGGGAAUAAAGUGAGAGUCGUGACUCUUUUUGUAUGUACCUUAUGAAUAAGGACCGGCUAAUUCCGUG